Molecule: long non-coding RNA, 1641 nt
Filed under: Portunus trituberculatus (swimming crab)
Lineage: Eukaryota; Metazoa; Arthropoda; Malacostraca; Decapoda; Portunidae
Description: uncharacterized LOC123504988
Source: RNAcentral
GCUCGCUCCGUAAUGGGGAAGACUAGCUGGAUGACCAGCGGACGACCGUGGUGAAUUACACACACACACUCGUUGUAAUGAUGUAAUCUUUUCGUGUUUUCAUUGUACAGGACCGGAAUUGUUCAUGGUCUAUAUAAGUGUAUUACUAUAAUAUAACAACUCAUCGACACUACGUAUAGUCUUUCGUAGUAUUUGUUGAAUACAUGACACUAUCUUCAUAAUACUUCUAUAACUUUCCUUUCCUUAGCACAGUACUAUUUAUCAACGUUUUUCUUUUUCCUAGUCCUAUCACAAUAUUGACUUGGUAUGCAUCUCGCCAUUCUUUAAUACCCUUUUUUUUAAUAUACCACAGCUUGCUCUUCAUCUCCUAGCACCAAUACCCUUAGCCGCCUCCCUCCUUCGUACACUCACUCUCUAAAAAUACACCCGUCAUGAAAUAGCCCGCAUAACGUAACCUGCCGCGAACAGCUCUCUGGGAGUGACCUUGAGCUCCUGGCGGACUGUCAACGUGGAGUAAAGAGAAAGAAUAUAAACAAAACAUUAAUAACUCAAUAAUCCGUCAGGUGAAAAUAAACUGGACUGAUCGAUAGCAUGUGAGGCCAGAGAGAUGUUUCUUAAUGGUUUGUUCAUCCGUAUUUAUAACCCCUAAACGUGUAGAGGCAUGGCCUUAGUGCCGAGACGACCUUACUGUGGAAACCGUACUCUCCCUCCUUGUUACUUGCCUUAGCAGUGCGACAUUACGGGCAAGGACGAGGCACUCACCACGCCCCUGAAAUAGCAAUGUACAGCCGCGACCUAGUGAUCGCCGCCCGGAGCCAAGGUGGAUGCUGUCACUGAACAACUGUCACUGCGGCCCGUGCCUCAACCCUGGCGGGGGGCAAGGCAGCAGCAGACUCUCUGGGCGGUACUACAAACACUCGGUGCACCAGACACAGGUGGUAGAAAGGUGUGACGCAGCAGAUGCCGGUGGUUUCUUUCUGCCAAGUUAGUCACCAAAGGCCAUCCGUCUUAGACGGCCAUGGUUCAUGAUCACCUAGACACGUGACUCGCCCUUGAGGACAGCCGAGUACGCGAUAUUGUUGUCAUUUUCAUUUCAACACCGGCCGUUAUUUCACAUCUGUAUUUGACAAUGCGUUUUAUAUGAGACUGAGGAUAAUAGAGAUGGCAAGUCAUCACCACCACCCACGAGAGGGAGGUUGAUUGAGGACACGUCUUUUUUUUUUUUUUUUUCUUUCUUUUCCUACCAUCAUCUAAUAUCAUACUCACGCUUUAGAUAUUCCCUCGUCCUCGACGCCGCCAGAUGGCACCACACCUGUUCCUGUUCUCUCUCACCGCCUACACUUCACCUUGCAAACCACUACAGCACUUGGGCGGCACCUCAUCAGCCCUCCCGUGUGACUGUCUGGAGCGUCCUCACUCAACAGGUGUUUCACCCUCAACACCCACACUGUCUCCUCGGCCUGGCUAAGUGUAGGGUGGUUUGGGGCAGGCAAGGAGCGGGUGGAGGAGGCGCGACCCCUACACCGCAACAGCUGGUGUUUGGUGUUGGGGAGAGCCUUGCCUUCCGCCCCGCCCACACCUCCUCCCUCUCCCUGCAGUCAUCUUUUCCUUAAACGAUUAAUAUAUAUUUUUUCUACAAAA